This 84-nucleotide microRNA precursor is filed under the name Bombyx mori (domestic silkworm). Its description in RNAcentral is "mir-2807 microRNA precursor family". It matches the Rfam family "mir-2807 microRNA precursor family". Lineage: Eukaryota; Metazoa; Arthropoda; Insecta; Lepidoptera; Bombycidae. The record is from Rfam by way of RNAcentral.
UUAACUCAAAUUUGUAUGGAGUUGGACAGGGUUCCUACGUUUGCCGCUAGGGGCGCUGUUCCAACUCCAUACAAAUUUGAGUUA